AGUUUGAUCCUGGCUCAGGGUUAACGCUAGCGGUGCGCCUAACACAUGCAAGUCGAGCGGUAUUGGUAUUUUAAAGAUUUUCGGAUUGAUAAAAUAUUGAGAGAGCGGCGAACGGGUGAGUAACACGUUGGUACAUGCCCCCAAGUCAGGGAUAGCCAGAAGAAAUUCUGAUUAAUACCGGAUAGUCUCUUUGGAGUAAAAAUUUAUUGCUUGGGGAGUGGCCUGCGUUCUAUCAGCUAGUUGGUGAGGUAAUAGCUCACCAAGGCUAUGACGGAUACUUGGUCUGAGAGGAUGAUCAGGCACAAUGGAACUGAGACACGGUCCAUACUCAGCCAUGCCGCGUGUGUGAAGAAGGCCUUCGGGUUGUAAAGCACUUUAAGCGAGGAGGAAGGUCUUUGAAUUAAUACUUCAAAGAAUUGACGUUACUCGCAGAAUAAGCACCGGCUAACUCUGUGCCAGCAGCCGCGGUAAUACAGAGGGUGCAAGCGUUAAUCGGAAUUACUGGGCGUAAAGGGUGCGCAGGCGGUUUUGUAAGACAGAUGUGAAAUCCCCGGGCUUAACCUGGGAAACUGCGUUUGUGACUGCAAGGCUAGAGUACGGCAGAGGGGGGUGGAAUUCCGCGUGUAGCAGUGAAAUGCGUAGAUAUGCGGAGGAACACCGAUGGCGAAGGCAACCCCCUGGGCCUGUACUGACGCUCAUGCACGAAAGCGUGGGGAGCAAACAGGAUUAGAUACCCUGGUAGUCCAAUCCCGGGGCCAUGGCGG
Molecule: ribosomal RNA, 764 nt
Filed under: uncultured beta proteobacterium
Lineage: Bacteria; Pseudomonadati; Pseudomonadota; Betaproteobacteria
Description: bacterial SSU rRNA
Rfam family: Bacterial small subunit ribosomal RNA
Source: RNAcentral